This 405-nucleotide unclassified non-coding RNA is filed under the name Hevea brasiliensis (rubber tree). The record is from RNAcentral. Lineage: Eukaryota; Viridiplantae; Streptophyta; Magnoliopsida; Malpighiales; Euphorbiaceae.
CAAAAAUUCCCUCUAUUCUCUCAAUCUUCAGUUGGUCACUCCGUUGAUUCUUCAUCCGUCAAGGAAUCAAAGACGAAGAAUGGGGGAUUGACGGAUCUGUGCUGCUCAAUCCCUCUGCUGAGACAGUCUAUCAUAUUCCCCAAGUUGAAAAAUCAAAGUGCUCGGCAUUCCAAUUGGGAGAAGUAGAUGGGGAAUUUAUUCGUCAAGAAGCCCAAAGUCACCGAUGUUGAUAAAGCGAUUCUGUCUCUCAAGACCCAAAGACGCAAACUCGGUCAAUAUCAACAACAGCUUGAUGCCGUCAUUGAAGCAGAAAAGAAUGCUGCAAGAGAGUUAGUUCGACAAAAGAAAAAGGAUCGUGCCUUGUUAGCCUUGAAGAAGAAAAAGGCACAAGAAGAAUUAUUAAAG